This 65-nucleotide transfer RNA is filed under the name Eurythoe complanata. RNAcentral describes it as "tRNA-Asn". The record is from RNAcentral. Lineage: Eukaryota; Metazoa; Annelida; Polychaeta; Eunicida; Amphinomidae.
UGAGCGGAAGCCAAAAAGGCACCUAUCUGUUAAUUAGUCUCCCGCCGGAUCGCCGGCCCGCUCAG